This 225-nucleotide ribosomal RNA is filed under the name uncultured bacterium. Its description in RNAcentral is "partial 16S ribosomal RNA". It matches the Rfam family "Bacterial small subunit ribosomal RNA", at positions 109 to 334 of the family's 1533-position model. The record is from RNAcentral.
AGUAACGCGUGGGGAACCUGCCCUAUACAGGGGGAUAACAGCUGGAAACGGUUGCUAAUACCGCAUAAGCGCACAGAAUCGCAUGAUUCAGUGUGAAAAGCCCUGGCAGUAUAGGAUGGUCCCGCGUCUGAUUAGCUGGUUGGUGAGGUAACGGCUCACCAAGGCGACGAUCAGUAGCCGGCUUGAGAGGGUGAACGGCCACAUUGGGACUGAGACACGGCCCAA